GGGUCCGGGAGCAGUCCCGGAGGUUUGGAAUGGUCGGGCCGCCAUUC
This 47-nucleotide non-coding RNA is filed under the name Elusimicrobiota bacterium. Its description in RNAcentral is "Elusimicrobia bacterium Li+-I sequence". It matches the Rfam family "nhaA-I RNA". Rfam says of the family: Acidobacteria, Alphaproteobacteria, Betaproteobacteria and Gammaproteobacteria, Verrucomicrobia, cand. division NC10. Downstream gene The record is from RNAcentral. Lineage: Bacteria; Pseudomonadati; Elusimicrobiota.